UACGGGGGGAGCAAGCGUUGUUCGGAUUUACUGGGCGUAAAGGGCGCGUAGGCGGAUCUUUAAGUCGGGGGUGAAAGCCUGAGGCUCAACCUCAGAAUUGCCUUCGAUACUGGAGAUCUUGAGACCGGAAGAGGUAAGUGGAACUGCGAGUGUAGGGGUGAAAUUCGUAGAUAUUCGCAAGAACACCAGUGGCGAAGGCGGCUUACUGGUCCGGUUCUGACGCUGAGGCGCGAAAGCGUGGGGAGCAAACAGG
This 253-nucleotide ribosomal RNA is filed under the name uncultured bacterium. Its description in RNAcentral is "partial 16S ribosomal RNA". It matches the Rfam family "Bacterial small subunit ribosomal RNA", at positions 524 to 776 of the family's 1533-position model. The record is from RNAcentral.